GCGCUUCCAGAGCCAAUCCGCCUCGUCCCACUCCCGCAUCUCAGCCGUCAUACAAACCCUAGCCCCGUUUUUCCUCGAUCCCCAGUCCCCACACGCUCCUGCCUCCUCCAUCCCUCCUCCUCGCGUGACCACGGCCUCCGCCCUGCAGCCUCGCCGCCUCCUGCUAUUCCGCCUCCACCACGCUAGCCCCUCUACCUCGCCUUCCUUCUCUUCGUUGUCAAUGCGGCCUUCAUCGACCCCUGGUUCCAGAUCGGGCGCAGGUUAGGCGAGCCCGGUGGUGGGGUGAAGGGGCAGGGGAGGCGGGCGACGAGGGCAGGUAACUGUCGGCCCGUCGCGAUGUGCUGAGGCUACAGGGAAGAGGGAGGAGGUGGGCGACAGGGUGAAGGAGCAGGCCGGCCCUCCUGGAAGCACCGCUGCCGCUCAGCCAGGAAGGAGGCCAGGCUCGCCUCUGCUGUGCCAUGAGCGGCGGCGCCGCCUAUGCCUCCACCCCCACCUUCUUUUCCAUGCCUCUUCCUCCGCAUAGGCAGAUUUUGGGGAGACGCCAAGAAUAAUAAUUCAAGUGGAUGGCCGAUGCACCUUGUUGUUUAGCGGUAUGAUGAUCGGCGAAAGUAUGUUCUAUAUUGCAAGAUGAUUGCAGCUGAUGCCGAGCCUCUCGGGAGAGCCUCUUCCAAUUUCCCCUCCUCACCAAGGACGAGGGCAUGAGGUAGUAACUGUAGCAUGCAGAAUUACCUACAGCUUGAGUAUAUACACAUUAUCCACUUCAUAUUUUAUUCCAAUGGUUUUACUUCCACAUCACAUGUUUAUUUAUAUUAAAUCACAAGAACUUCAUGAGCUUGCUUGGUUACCGUGGAGAAGGGCAUUCUUUCAUGGAGCUGUAGAUUUUUUGAAUAUGCUCCCUGUUGGACACUUUUUUGGGUAUGUCCAAGAUUUGUUGAGAAUGGGUGUGAAAAAAUUGACCAUCUGGUGGACUUAUACGCACGGUAUGUUUAGUUUCAAGAUAACUAAUGGAACUGCUUUAUUCCUUGCUGUGUACAUUUUUAGAACAUUAUUCCUUUUUUGUGUACUGAUUGAAUGAUCUGCUUGCACCAUGCAGGUACUCAUACAUAGUGAAAGCAGAGGCCGAAAGGUUUCGAUUUAGAUGAUUUAAUGGUGCCUUGUCUAUCUUCUUACCUCCAGGUCAAAAUUAAGCACACGAUUUCUUGCUGAAGGACAUGCUCUUAUUCUCUGAGAUGGACAAUGAUGAGCGGUACAACCGAAAAUUCAGAGCUGGGCUUUAUACACUUCAGUGGGCAAAUUGGAAUGCAGGUACUAGCAUCACAACACUGGGGUGGAGACCUGAAGCGAAGCAGAGGGGCGGACCAAGGAAAUCAGAGUCACGCUAUUUCUAUAUAUCCUCAUUCUGCGCUCUUAUAUUUUUUACACAUUUACAAUCUUGUGUUCGAAUAAUUCUUGUGGCUUGACAAGACAGAGUGGAGGAUCAAGGAAUGAAGUCAGAAUAGUUUUCUAAUUAAAUAUAUCCAAAGGAUGAUAAUAGGUUGUGUCAAGAUGAGUGCACGAGAAGGAUAGUGAAAAAGAAAGGUGAGAAGGGUUCUGAGUAUUCUUUCCUCACUUUUCAGGACAUGAAUUUGUCCUUUAAUUCUUGUUAUUCGUAUUAAAGAAAGCGAAAAGUAAUAAUUAUGCAUAUUUUUUAAAUUUGUGUUCUACAGUUCAAUCAAUGAGACCAUAAUUUAGUGGUGAAACAUAUUAAAUACUCCCUCCGUCUCAUAAUGUAAGACGUUUUCUGACACCACUAGUAUCAGAAAACGUCUUACAUUAUGGGACAGAGAGAGUAGUUCAGAUGUUGCCCACACAUGAGCGCCCAUGGGGAAGCCCAGAUCCAUCAUGUCGCUUUGGGUGGAAAGCAGUUCAAUUCUCUAUUUUCCUGGAUAUAGAGUAUCAUGCUUCCAUAUAGUGCUCAUAGAUCUUGUAUGCGUAUCGCCAGUUUGAUUCACAAGGAUUUUAACUUGUUAGGGCACGAUUAUUCGAAGUUUAACAUGUUAUGUAUGCGGACGCACAACAAUAACAGAACGUUCAGAUAAGGUUUUGUCAUGCACAUGGCUACUAAUCACAAAAAGGGUUAGGAACAAGUUUACUAUUGUGAUUUUCAGCAACCGAAAUAGAAGCAGAGUUAACUAUGAUUUUAAGCUACACUUUAGACUUGUCCUGAUAACUAGAACUGCUAUGAUGUUGCUCUAUUAUAAGUGCCUUGCUUUCAUGAGUUGAAAUAACUCAUGGUUGUCUUUUCUUUUGUUUGCACUGUAAGCAAUGUGUGGUAGAAGCUGUAAAAAUGUAGGUCCAGUGUCCUGUAUAUUUUUUGAAUUCACAAUCGGCAGUGUCAAUGUGUCAUGUGUGAUGCAGCAUGAAUCAUAGUGAGCUUAUUUCUUUGCACACUUGGUGUAUCCUCUUAUCAUCUUCUGUACACGUCCUCGAAUGGAAAGAUCAGUAUGGUGGUGCUAUAUUGAAUCAAUUACGUAGGCUUGGAGCCUCCCUUGAUUGGACCAGUGAGAUAAACUUCUUAUUUUCUUUAGUUAAGAAAAAUAGUGAAAACAAUGUAUUGACUAUAGUUCCAACUCCUAAUGUCCACUUAAUGUCAACCUCAUGCGUCAGUGCUUUACAAUGAACGAGAAAAGGUCAAAAGCUGUAACUGAAGCUUUUGUCAGGUUGUAUAAAGAUGGUCUUAUUUAUAGGUUAGUAUCCUCGCCUUCCGUUGUUCAAGGUGUUAAGCAUUUGUGUUUUGCAUGUUAAGUAAUGCUAUGGUGUUUUACUUCUAGAUUUUUUUUUAUUUCUUAUGGAUGUUUCGAUCUUUUGCAGGGAUUGCAUGCUUCUAACUGCGAUUUUUGACAGAGGUUGGUUAAGACUUUUAUUCUCCACAAUAGACAGUUUAUUUAUUUGAAUAUGCUGUUUUAUUAGGUUGAUCAUCUGGGUCUUAAAGAAGAAACUAAAGCUAAAGGUUCCUGGUUACAGCACACCAGUGCAAUUCGUUGUCCUGAUACCCUUUGAGUAUCCUCUUGAAGGAGGAUUGGGUGAGAUUGUUGUUGCAACAAGAAUUGGAACUAUGCUGGGUGAUACAACAAUAUUUGUUCAUCCAGGGAAUAAAAGAUAUAAGCAUCUGCAUGGAAGAUAUGCAAUUCACCCCUUCAAUGGCAGAAAACUAAAAAUAAUCUGCGAUGCUGUGUUGGUGGAUCCCAGUUUCGGCACUAGGUCUGUCAAAGGUGUGAUAUAAUGCCAACUGGCUUAAUAUUCAUGCGUUCCUCUUGUUAUGACAUCGAGCUAAUGUGCCAUCUGUUACACUAUUUGUGCUCCCAGACUAAGCAUAACCUUGCGUACUUUGGAUAAACUACUUUCUAUGAUUCA
Molecule: long non-coding RNA, 3393 nt
Organism: Triticum aestivum (bread wheat)
Lineage: Eukaryota; Viridiplantae; Streptophyta; Magnoliopsida; Poales; Poaceae
Exons: 4
Source: RefSeq, a predicted model, not a curated record